RNAcentral lists this ribosomal RNA (438 nucleotides) under Yersinia intermedia. RNAcentral describes it as "bacterial SSU rRNA". It matches the Rfam family "Bacterial small subunit ribosomal RNA", at positions 52 to 479 of the family's 1533-position model. The record is from RNAcentral. Lineage: Bacteria; Pseudomonadati; Pseudomonadota; Gammaproteobacteria; Enterobacterales; Yersiniaceae.
CACAUGCAAGUCGAGCGGCAGCGGGAAGUAGUUUACUACUUUGCCGGCGAGCGGCGGACGGGUGAGUAAUGUCUGGGAAACUGCCUGAUGGAGGGGGAUAACUACUGGAAACGGUAGCUAAUACCGCAUGACCUCGUAAGAGCAAAGUGGGGGACCUUCGGGCCUCACGCCAUCGGAUGUGCCCAGAUGGGAUUAGCUAGUAGGUGGGGUAAUGGCUCACCUAGGCGACGAUCCCUAGCUGGUCUGAGAGGAUGACCAGCCACACUGGAACUGAGACACGGUCCAGACUCCUACGGGAGGCAGCAGUGGGGAAUAUUGCACAAUGGGCGCAAGCCUGAUGCAGCCAUGCCGCGUGUGUGAAGAAGGCCUUCGGGUUGUAAAGCACUUUCAGCGAGGAGGAAGGCAGUCGUGUUAAUAGCACGAUUGAUUGACGUUACU